AUUGAACGCUGGCGGCAUGCUUUACACAUGCAAGUCGAACGGUAACAGGUUAAGCUGACGAGUGGCGAACGGGUGAGUAAUGCAUCGGAACGUGCCCGAUCGUGGGGGAUAACGCAGCGAAAGCUGCGCUAAUACCGCAUACGAUCUGAGGAUGAAAGCGGGGGACCGUAAGGCCUCGCGCGAUCGGAGCGGCCGAUGUCAGAUUAGGUAGUUGGUGGGGUAAAGGCUCACCAAGCCAACGAUCUGUAGCUGGUCCGAGAGGACGACCAGCCACACUGAGACAGAGACACGGCACAGACUCCUACGGGAGGCAGCAGGGGGGAAUUUUGGACAAUGGGCGAAGGCCUGAUCCAGCAAUACCGCGUGCAGGAAGAAGGCCGUCGGGUUGUGAACUGCUUUUGUACGGAGCGAAAAGGCUCUCUCUAAUACAGGGGGCUCAUGACGGUACCGUAAGAAUAAGCACCGGCUAACUACGUGCCAGCCGCCGCCGUAA
RNAcentral lists this ribosomal RNA (493 nucleotides) under uncultured bacterium. RNAcentral describes it as "partial 16S ribosomal RNA". It matches the Rfam family "Bacterial small subunit ribosomal RNA", at positions 29 to 523 of the family's 1533-position model. The record is from RNAcentral.